This 460-nucleotide ribosomal RNA is filed under the name uncultured bacterium. RNAcentral's name for it is "partial 16S ribosomal RNA". It matches the Rfam family "Bacterial small subunit ribosomal RNA", at positions 338 to 795 of the family's 1533-position model. The record is from RNAcentral.
CCUACGGGAGGCAGCAGUGAGGAAUAUUGGUCAAUGGACGAGAGUCUGAACCAGCCAAGUAGCGUGAAGGAUGACUGCUCUAUGGGUUGUAAACUUCUUUUAUAAAGGAAUAAAACGAGGCACGUGUGCCUUUUUGCAUGUACUUUAUGAAUAAGGAUCGGCUAACUCCGUGCCAGCAGCCGCGGUAAUACGGAGGAUCCGAGCGUUAUCCGGAUUUAUUGGGUUUAAAGGGAGCGUAGGUGGGUUUUUAAGUCAGUUGUGAAAGUGUGCGGCUCAACCAUAAAAUUGCAAUUGAUACUGGGAGUCUUGAGUACAGUUGAGGCAAGCGGAAUUCGUGGUGUAGCGGUGAAAUGCUUAGAUAUCACGAAGAACCCCGAUUGCGAAGGCAGCUUACUAAACUGUGACUGACAUUGAUGCUCGAAAGUGUGGGUAUCAAACAGGAUUAGAUACCCUUGUAGUC